Molecule: ribosomal RNA, 497 nt
Filed under: uncultured bacterium
Lineage: Bacteria
Description: partial 16S ribosomal RNA
Rfam family: Bacterial small subunit ribosomal RNA
Source: RNAcentral
GAUGAACGCUGGCGGCGUGCCUAAUACAUGCAAGUCGAGCGAACGGACGAGAAGCUUGCUUCUCUGAUGUUAGCGGCGGACGGGUGAGUAACACGUGGAUAACCUACCUAUAAGACUGGGAUAACUUCGGGAAACCGUAGCUAAUACCGGAUAAUAUUUUGAACCGCAUGGUUCAAAAGUGAAAGACGGUCUUGCUGUCACUUAUAGAUGGAUCCGCGCUGCAUUAGCUAGUUGGUAAGGUAACGGCUUACCAAGGCAACGAUGCAUAGCCGACCUGAGAGGGUGUUCGGCCACACUGGAACUGAUACACGGUCCAGACUCCUACGGGAGGCAGCAGUAGGGAAUCUUCCGCAAUGGGCGAAAGCCUGACGGAGCAACGCCGCGUGAGUGAUGAAGGUCUUCGGAUCGUAAAACUCUGUUAUUAGGGAAGAACAUAUGUGUAAGUAACUGUGCACAUCUUGACGGUACCUAAUCAGAAAGCCACGGCUAACUACGUG